AACGAACGCUGGCGGCAUGCCUAACACAUGCAAGUCGAACGAGACCUUCGGGUCUAGUGGCGCACGGGUGCGUAACGCGUGGGAACCUGCCCUUAGGUUCGGAAUAACUCCCCGAAAGGGGUGCUAAUACCGGAUAAUGUCUUCGGACCAAAGAUUUAUCGCCUUUGGAUGGGCCCGCGUUGGAUUAGCUAGUUGGUAGGGUAAAAGCCUACCAAGGCGACGAUCCAUAGCUGGUCUGAGAGGAUGAUCAGCCACACUGGGACUGAGACACGGCCCAGACUCCUACGGGGCAGCAGUGGGGAAUAUUGGACAAUGGGCGAAAGCCUGAUCCAGCAAUGCCGCGUGAGUGAUGAAGGCCUUAGGGUUGUAAAGCUCUUUUACCCGGGAUGAUAAUGACAGUACCGGGAGAAUAAGCUCCGGCUAACUCCGUG
RNAcentral lists this ribosomal RNA (431 nucleotides) under uncultured bacterium. Its description in RNAcentral is "partial 16S ribosomal RNA". It matches the Rfam family "Bacterial small subunit ribosomal RNA", at positions 29 to 507 of the family's 1533-position model. The record is from RNAcentral.